GCACAAGCGGCGGAGCAUGUGGAUUAAUUCGAUGCAACGCGAAGAACCUUACCUGGGCUUGACAUGUACAGGAUCGGGCUAGAGAUAGUUUUUCCUUUUUAGGUCUGUAUACAGGUGGUGCAUGGUUGUCGUCAGCUCGUGUCGUGAGAUGUUGGGUUAAGUCCCGCAACGAGCGCAACCCUUGUCUUAUGUUGCCAGCACAUUUUGGUGGGGACUCAUGAGAGACUGCCGGGGUUAACUCGGAGGAAGGUGGGGAUGACGUCAAAUCAUCAUGCCCCUUAUGUCCAGGGCUUCACACAUGCUACAAUGGUCGGUACAACGCGCUGCGAGCCUGUGAGGGUAAGCGAAUCGCUGAAAGCCGGCCUCAGUUCGGAUUGGGGUCUGCAACUCGAGCCCAUGAAGUCGGAGUCGCUAGUAAU
This 419-nucleotide ribosomal RNA is filed under the name Corynebacterium kutscheri. Its description in RNAcentral is "bacterial SSU rRNA". It matches the Rfam family "Bacterial small subunit ribosomal RNA", at positions 923 to 1342 of the family's 1533-position model. Lineage: Bacteria; Bacillati; Actinomycetota; Actinomycetes; Mycobacteriales; Corynebacteriaceae. The record is from RNAcentral.